UCAAAAACCGACCAAAUUUCAGUCAACUGGAUUGGUUUUUGAAAUUAAGUUGGAAACAUGUCUGUUUUUGGGAAUAAAUUUCAAAACAUGUCUGUUUUGAAAAUUUGUCCCUCUUCUUCCCGUCUCUAUCCGGCACCUGCGGGCUCCAACACAACCCCUCCUGUUAUUCUCUCAAGAUUCAGAAUCAGUUGCAUUCCAUGUCAUCUGUUGCUCUAGAGACUUCGAGAAGAAGAAGAAGAAGACGAGCCAUUGAAGCAAAGACCUACGAAGGAAUAUGGAGGCCUUGGUCCUGAUUACUUGUAUCACUGUAUAGCAAUGGAAGAAAUAAGUCGUGCUUCUGGAUCUGUUUGCAUUAAUCAAUUUGGUUGCAGUCCUUGGAUUUUUAGGGACUUUGAGGUUAGUGGGAGAACUCAUCUGUUGAAAGGAAAUAAUCAAAGAACUGAUGGAAAGACUACCACACAUGAAAGAGCUUAUGAAUAUGUUUAGUGGCCCUGAUAGAGUGACUGCAAAGCAACAAAUGCAGGAGUUAGACAGAGUCGCAAAAACUCUACCAGAGAAUAUACCUUCAUCUGUGAAGAGGUUCACUGAUCGUGUCGUUCUUUCACUUUAAGUUUUCUUUUUUUCAACUUAGUUUAGUUUCCUGUAAAUCUUAUAAUGUGUCAUUCUCUGAAAUGGAAAACACUGAAUAUGGCAAACUGGAAUAUUUAAACAGGUCUUUGAGUGUUGAUUUGGAAAUGGAAAUGAAUGUAAUUAUUUUGCAAUGGGAGCAAAUUCUUUGUUUAUCAUAA
RNA transcript from Asparagus officinalis (garden asparagus), 788 nucleotides. RefSeq lists it as uncharacterized. The transcript has 4 exons. NCBI's taxonomy places the organism in Eukaryota, Viridiplantae, Streptophyta, Magnoliopsida, Asparagales, Asparagaceae. The record is from RefSeq and is a predicted model, not a curated record.